CCUACGGGAGGCAGCAGUGGGGAAUAUUGCACAAUGGGGGAAACCCUGAUGCAGCGACGCCGCGUGAGUGAAGAAGGAUUUCGGUACGUAAAGCUCUAUCAGCAGGGAAGAAAAUGACGGUACCUGACUAAGAAGCCCCGGCUAACUACGUGCCAGCAGCCGCGGUAAGACGGAGGGGGCAAGCGUUAUCCGGAUUUACGGGGUGUAAAGGGAGCGUAGACGGCAGCGCAAGUCUGGAGUGAAAUCCCAGGGCUUAACCAUGGAACUGCGUUGGAAACUGUGCAGCUGGAGUGCAGGAGCGGUAAGCGGACUUCCUAUUGUAGCGGUGAACUGCUUAGAUAUUAGGCGGCACCCCAGUGGCG
Molecule: ribosomal RNA, 362 nt
Filed under: uncultured bacterium
Lineage: Bacteria
Description: partial 16S ribosomal RNA
Rfam family: Bacterial small subunit ribosomal RNA
Source: RNAcentral